Molecule: RNase P RNA, 461 nt
Filed under: Acidobacteriota bacterium
Lineage: Bacteria; Pseudomonadati; Acidobacteriota
Description: RNase P RNA component class A
Rfam family: Bacterial RNase P class A
About the family: Ribonuclease P (RNase P) is a ubiquitous endoribonuclease, found in archaea, bacteria and eukarya as well as chloroplasts and mitochondria. Its best characterised activity is the generation of mature 5'-ends of tRNAs by cleaving the 5'-leader elements of precursor-tRNAs.
Source: RNAcentral
CGAGCAAGCCGGGUGAUCGCUGCCUCGCCCUAGCGCUCCGCUUUCCGGGGUUGGCAGGGGUGGGGGAGAGGAAAGUCCGAACUCCGCAGGGCAGUGUGCUCGCUAACGGCGAGGGCCCGAGGGGGAUUCCCGAUUCGUCGGGGCGUACGCCUCAGGUACGGAAAGUGCCACAGAAAAUGUACCGCCGCGCCGGCGCCUUCGGGCGGUCCGGUGCGGUAAGGGUGAAAAGGUGCGGUCCCGGGUCACCGGGAAUUAAAGUAAGAGCGCACCGCCCCGGUGGUGACACUGGGGGCAUGGUAAACCCCACACGGAGCAAGACCAAAUAGGGGGGGAGGGGCGGCCCGUCCCGUUAUGACCCCCGGGUAGGUCGCUGGACCCCACGAGCAAUCUUGGGGCUAGAGGAAUGAUCGCCAUCCGUCAAUUGACGGACACAAAAUUCGGCUUACAGGCUUGCUCGCGCG